CCUACGGGUGGCAGCAGUGAGGAAUAUUGGUCAAUGGGCGCGAGCCUGAACCAGCCAAGUAGCGUGCAGGAUGACUGCUCUACGGGUUGUAAACUUCUUUUGUACGGGGGUAAAGUGCGGCACGUGUGCCUUUUUGUAAGUACUUUAUGAAUAAGGAUCGGCUAACUCCGUGCCAGCAGCCGCGGUAAUACGGAGGAUCCGAGCGUUAUCCGGAUUUAUUGGGUUUAAAGGGAGCGUAGAUGGGUUGUUAAGUCAGUUGUGAAAGUUCGGGGCUCAACCGUAAAAUUGCAAUUGAUACUGGCAGUCUUGAGUACAGUUGAGGUAGGCGGAAUUCGUGGUGUAGCGGUGAAAUGCUUAGAUAUCACGAAGAACUCCGAUUGCGAAGGCAGCUUACCAAACUGCCACUGACAUUGAUGCUCGAAAGCGUGGGUAGCAAACAGGAUUAGAUACCCUAGUAGUC
RNAcentral lists this ribosomal RNA (460 nucleotides) under uncultured bacterium. RNAcentral describes it as "partial 16S ribosomal RNA". It matches the Rfam family "Bacterial small subunit ribosomal RNA", at positions 338 to 795 of the family's 1533-position model. The record is from RNAcentral.